UACGUAGGGUGCAAGCGUUGUCCGGAAUUAUUGGGCGUAAAGAGCUCGUAGGCGGUUUGUCGCGUCGAAUGUGAAAACCCGGGGCUCAACCCCGGGCCUGCAUUCGAUACGGGCAGACUAGAGUUCGGUAGGGGAGUCUGGAAUUCCUGGUGUAGCGGUGAAAUGCGCAGAUAUCAGGAGGAACACCGGUGGCGAAGGCGGCUAUCUGGACGACAACUGACGCUGAGGCGCGAAAGCACGGGGAUCAAACAGG
This 253-nucleotide ribosomal RNA is filed under the name uncultured bacterium. Its description in RNAcentral is "partial 16S ribosomal RNA". It matches the Rfam family "Bacterial small subunit ribosomal RNA", at positions 524 to 776 of the family's 1533-position model. The record is from RNAcentral.